This 492-nucleotide ribosomal RNA is filed under the name uncultured bacterium. RNAcentral's name for it is "partial 16S ribosomal RNA". It matches the Rfam family "Bacterial small subunit ribosomal RNA", at positions 29 to 507 of the family's 1533-position model. The record is from RNAcentral.
AGUGAACGCUGGCGGUAGGCCUAACACAUGCAAGUCGAACGGCAGCACAGUAAGAGCUUGCUCUUACGGGUGGCGAGUGGCGGACGGGUGAGGAAUACAUCGGAAUCUACUUUUUCGUGGGGGAUAACGUAGGGAAACUUACGCUAAUACCGCAUAAGACCUACGGGUGAAAGCAGGGGAUCUUCGGACCUUGCGCGACUGAAUGAGCCGAUGUCGGAUUAGCUAGUUGGCGGGGUAAAGGCCCACCAAGGCGACGAUCCGUAGCUGGUCUGAGAGGAUGAUCAGCCACACUGGAACUGAGACACGGUCCAGACUCCUACGGGAGGCAGCAGUGGGGAAUAUUGGACAAUGGGCGCAAGCCUGAUCCAGCCAUACCGCGUGGGUGAAGAAGGCCUUCGGGUUGUAAAGCCCUUUUGUUGGGAAAGAAAAGCAGCAGGUUAAUACCCCGCUGUUCUGACGGUACCCAAAGAAUAAGCACCGGCUAACUUCGUG